CAAACUGGAGAUGGCGACCGGCGCACGGGUGAGUAACACGUAUCCAACCUGCCGAUAACUCGGGGAUAGCCUUUCGAAAGAAAGAUUAAUACCCGAUGGCAUAAUAGAACCGCAUGGUUUGAUUAUUAAAGAAUUUCGGUUAUCGAUGGGGAUGCGCUCCAUUAGGCAGUUGGUGGGGUAACGGCCCACCAAACCUUCGAUGGAUAGGGGUUCUGAGAGGAAGGUCCCCCACAUUGGAACUGAGACACGGUCCAAACUCCUACGGGAGGCAGCAUG
Molecule: ribosomal RNA, 276 nt
Filed under: uncultured bacterium
Lineage: Bacteria
Description: partial 16S ribosomal RNA
Rfam family: Bacterial small subunit ribosomal RNA
Source: RNAcentral